This 1338-nucleotide ribosomal RNA is filed under the name Mycolicibacterium septicum. RNAcentral describes it as "Mycobacterium septicum 16S ribosomal RNA". It matches the Rfam family "Bacterial small subunit ribosomal RNA", at positions 91 to 1441 of the family's 1533-position model. The record is from RNAcentral. Lineage: Bacteria; Bacillati; Actinomycetota; Actinomycetes; Mycobacteriales; Mycobacteriaceae.
UCGAGUGGCGAACGGGUGAGUAACACGUGGGUGAUCUGCCCUGCACUUUGGGAUAAGCCUGGGAAACUGGGUCUAAUACCGAAUAUGACCGCGCUCUUCAUGGGGUGUGGUGGAAAGCUUUUGCGGUGUGGGAUGGGCCCGCGGCCUAUCAGCUUGUUGGUGGGGUAAUGGCCUACCAAGGCGACGACGGGUAGCCGGCCUGAGAGGGUGACCGGCCACACUGGGACUGAGAUACGGCCCAGACUCCUACGGGAGGCAGCAGUGGGGAAUAUUGCACAAUGGGCGCAAGCCUGAUGCAGCGACGCCGCGUGAGGGAUGACGGCCUUCGGGUUGUAAACCUCUUUCAAUAGGGACGAAGCGCAAGUGACGGUACCUAUAGAAGAAGGACCGGCCAACUACGUGCCAGCAGCCGCGGUAAUACGUAGGGUCCGAGCGUUGUCCGGAAUUACUGGGCGUAAAGAGCUCGUAGGUGGUUUGUCGCGUUGUUCGUGAAAACUCACAGCUUAACUGUGGGCGUGCGGGCGAUACGGGCAGACUAGAGUACUGCAGGGGAGACUGGAAUUCCUGGUGUAGCGGUGGAAUGCGCAGAUAUCAGGAGGAACACCGGUGGCGAAGGCGGGUCUCUGGGCAGUAACUGACGCUGAGGAGCGAAAGCGUGGGGAGCGAACAGGAUUAGAUACCCUGGUAGUCCACGCCGUAAACGGUGGGUACUAGGUGUGGGUUUCCUUCCUUGGGAUCCGUGCCGUAGCUAACGCAUUAAGUACCCCGCCUGGGGAGUACGGCCGCAAGGCUAAAACUCAAAGGAAUUGACGGGGGCCCGCACAAGCGGCGGAGCAUGUGGAUUAAUUCGAUGCAACGCGAAGAACCUUACCUGGGUUUGACAUGCACAGGACGCCAGUAGAGAUAUUGGUUCCCUUGUGGCCUGUGUGCAGGUGGUGCAUGGCUGUCGUCAGCUCGUGUCGUGAGAUGUUGGGUUAAGUCCCGCAACGAGCGCAACCCUUGUCUCAUGUUGCCAGCACGUAAUGGUGGGGACUCGUGAGAGACUGCCGGGGUCAACUCGGAGGAAGGUGGGGAUGACGUCAAGUCAUCAUGCCCCUUAUGUCCAGGGCUUCACACAUGCUACAAUGGCCGGUACAAAGGGCUGCGAUGCCGUGAGGUGGAGCGAAUCCUUUCAAAGCCGGUCUCAGUUCGGAUCGGGGUCUGCAACUCGACCCCGUGAAGUCGGAGUCGCUAGUAAUCGCAGAUCAGCAACGCUGCGGUGAAUACGUUCCCGGGCCUUGUACACACCGCCCGUCACGUCAUGAAAGUCGGUAACACCCGAAGCCGGUGGCCUAACCC